This 467-nucleotide ribosomal RNA is filed under the name uncultured bacterium. RNAcentral describes it as "partial 16S ribosomal RNA". It matches the Rfam family "Bacterial small subunit ribosomal RNA", at positions 28 to 507 of the family's 1533-position model. The record is from RNAcentral.
GACGAACGCUGGCGGCGUGCUUAACACAUGCAAGUCGAACGGAAAGGCCUCUUUCGGGGGGUACUCGAGUGACGAACGGGUGAGUAACACGUGAGUAACCUGCCCUUGACUUUGGGAUAACUUCAGGAAACUGGGGCUAAUACCGGAUAGGAGCUCCUGCUGCAUGGUGGGGGUUGGAAAGUUUCGGCGGUUGGGGAUGGACUCGCGGCUUAUCAGCUUGUUGGUGGGGUAGUGGCUUACCAAGGCUUUGGCGGGUAGCCGGCCUGAGAGGGUGACCGGCCACAUUGGGACUGAGAUACGGCCCAGACUCCUACGGGAGGCAGCAGUGGGGAAUAUUGCACAAUGGGUGGAAGCCUGAUGCAGCAACGCCGUGUGCGGGAUGACGGCCUUCGGGUUGUAAACCGCUUUCGCUCAUGACGAAGCUUUGUGUGACGGUAGUGGGUAAAGAAGCACCGGCUAACUACGUG